AAACCCCGGGAAAACUGGGGAUAUAUCCCCGAUAGGUGAGGACUCCUGGAAGGGUCUUCCUCUUAAAAGGUAUUGGAUCCAUGUUUUACGAUCUUGCCUAAGGAUGGGGCCACGUCCGAUCAGGUUGUUGGUGAGGUAAUGGCUCACCAAGCCUUUAACCGGUUCCGGGCCGUGAGAGCGGGAGCCCGGAGAUGGGCACUGAGACAAGGGCCCAGGCCCUACGGGGCGCAGCAGUUGCGAAAACUUCGCAAUACGCGAAAGCGUGACGGGGUUAUCCCGAGUGCCGUCCGUUGAGGAUGGCUUUUUUCUAGUGUAAAUAGCCGGGGGAAUAAGGGGGGGGCAAGACUGGUGUCAGCCGCCGCGGUAACACCAGCUCUCCGAGUGGUGGGGAUGUUUAUUGGGCUUAAAGCGUCCGUAGCUGGCUCGAUAAGUCUUUCGUUAAAUCCAGCGAUUUAAUCGUUGGGCCGCGAGGGAGACUGUUAGGCUAGGGGGCGGGAGAGGUCGACGGUAUUUCCGGGGUAGGGGUGAAAUCCUAUAAUCCCGGGAGGACCACCAGUGGCGAAGGCUGUCGGCUAGAACGCGCUCGACGGUGAGGGACGAAAGCUGGGGGAGCGAACCGGAUUAGAUACCCGGGUAGUCCCAGCUGUAAACGAUGCAGGCUAGGUGUUGGGGCGGCCACGAGCCGCUUCAGUGCCGCAGGGAAGCUAUUAAGCCUGCCGCCUGGGAAGUACGGUCGCAAGGCUGAAACUUAAAGGAAUUGGCGGGGGAGCACCACAAGGCGUGAAGCUUGCGGUUUAAUUGGAGUCAACGCCGGAAAUCACUAGU
This 825-nucleotide ribosomal RNA is filed under the name uncultured archaeon. Its description in RNAcentral is "bacterial SSU rRNA". It matches the Rfam family "Archaeal small subunit ribosomal RNA", at positions 127 to 934 of the family's 1478-position model. The record is from RNAcentral.